CCUCCACCAAUGCGAAACAAGUAAACAGGCUGUAAGUUAUGCAUGACACUGUAACUGAAAGAAUAAAAAGGCUGCCUCGCCUGGCAACGGGGCGCUUUCCUGAGCAAACGAGCUGUCUGCGUCUGUUUCCUUCCCGCAUCUGGUGACCCCGACGUGAUUCCAGCCCUCCGUACCCACCGGCCGGUCGAGCCGUGGUGCACCACAGUGCGUCUUUGCGCACUCCCUCUUUCCCUACAGGAACGUACAGGGGGAUUUGGCUCCACACGCGCUGACCCCCUGCAGCCCACCAACGGCGGAAAGGUAACAACUGACUCAACUUACCACCCUCAGGUCGCCGCCGUGCUCCAGCACAUACACAAUCGUAAGCCUACCUGUUCUUAUCAGAUCCACGGUGCAAGGAGGAACUCCCCGCCCCGAAAGUGACAUAUCGGCAACUCCCCGGCACUACGUGGAGUGCCCCAGUUCCUUUGAUAACCUGGGGGCGGGGAUACACGGCCGUCAGCACACCACAAGGACCGGUGUGGGUCCCAGCUCGUUACAUACGUCCGUGGAAGGAGGACCCCACCAGCGACCCACAGCAUGGCGUGGCACCAGAGCCUUAACAAUCCUAUUCCCAACUUUAAUUCGUUAGUGACCACAACAAUGACUCUGUCUCAAGAGCGACGCCGUGGUCCACCCAAUGCUCCAGUGACGUGGGGGCAAAUAAAGUCCCUCUCCCGGCAAGCUGAACACCUGCUAGAACAACAAGAUAAGGAGAAGUCCCCAGAAAAUUUGUUGCUUGCCCUCAUUACUUGUUUGCAUGCUAAUUCUUGUGUUUUAUUGAGCAUAAUGAU
This is a long non-coding RNA of Gopherus evgoodei (Goodes thornscrub tortoise), 833 nucleotides long. RefSeq lists it as uncharacterized. Lineage: Eukaryota; Metazoa; Chordata; Testudines; Testudinidae. The transcript has 3 exons. The record is from RefSeq and is a predicted model, not a curated record.